CAUUCUACUGUUUAUUACACAUAUUACAUUCUUAAAUAAAAAUGCGUCACAUAACAUUUUUUGCAUAGAUAUCUUACAAUAUACCAAUUUAAAAAAGAAUUAUGAAACAGACCAGUAACAAAAAUAAAUUUUUUCUUCAUUAAUAAUUUUGUAACAUUAACAUACCACCAUCAUAUAAUACAAAUAAUAGUUUUAAAUCUUAAGACUUUUGUACAGCAAAAAAACUUGACAAAGUAAUAUAUUUAUAUAUAUAUAUAAAAAGCUUAAAAAAAAUAAAAUGUCAAAAAAAGGCAUAACCGAGGGCUAUAAGACUGGGUACUUCUGUGAUAUAUUAUAAAUACCAGAGAAGGCCUGAGAGAAUGUGACCUGGGGGGAGGCGGGGGCGGGGAGGGGGCUGGGAGUAGGUCUCUCCUAACACACUUGUUAGACACAUCUGGCAAAAAGAAAAUGUAUAGUGCAAAAAUAAAUUUCUUCAAGCAACUGUUAAGAGGAUAAUAGAGAUUUGAAAGAAAAGUGGUGGUGGUCGGGAAGUUGUGUGCUGGGUAUGGGGACAGGGUGAUGAGAGAGAAGGAGUUUGGGGCGAUUCAUGGAAAGGAAGGGCAGGCUGCAAAAACAUUCAACAUUUAUUUUUGCCUCUGUGUUAGCAAGGAGAUCUUGGCCAUAAUAGGUGUAUUUUUCCUCCCUGGAAUGAAGCAGAAGUGAAAGAUAAGGAAAUUAAAUCAGGUCUGGGUUUAGAUAGGAAAUGCAUGCUGGAAAAAAAAGAAAGAAAGAAAGAAAGAAAGAAAGAAAGAAAGAAAGAAAGAAAGAAAAAAGAAAAGGAAAGGAAAGAAAACGGUUGAGAACCAGCCAAUGAGCCCCAAAGCCUUUCGGAACCUGGAUUUGCAGAAAUCAUUCUGCCUCCGGUCCCAAGGCCUAGGAUUAAAAUGUCCCCUCUCCCCACCCGCCGCCCCUCCCCUCCACGUGGAGCUCCCAGUGUGGUUUCAAUAUACUGGCAUUAUAAGCAUCCGUCCCCCCCAAAAGAUAUUAGGCACUGGUGGCUACUCCUCUUAAACGUCAGUAGCCUGUUUUCCUUCUGCGAAGGUACAAUAGGUACAUCUGCACGCCUGUCUAGGCGUGGGCACACAUACCACCCUCAUUAUUCUGACGUGGGGUCCGUUUUAUGGCAGUAGACAGAAGCUGGAGUCAAAGCAGUUUACGAUUCCAAAGCUUACAGUUGAAAAAAAUUGUAUAAACAGUCCCCAACAAAGAACGUAUCACCCUUCCCUCAUGACCGCUGAGAGGGAGCCCUGUUUGAAAAGAGUAUCUGGUUGGGGAUAUUAGUGAAGUGACCGCCUAGGAUUUCGCUCUCCAUUUUUGAUACCUGUUUCCCGAGGACUUAAAAACGUAAAUGCAAAACACCUGAAGAAUACAGUACUAUAUUGGAAGGGCGCACAGAAGAAAAGUGAAUUGCAGCUUUAUUCUUCCCCCCUUUUCCGGGAUCUAUUUAUCAGGAACCAACAGAGGGGGGGUUAAGAGUGUUAAAAGCAAGAGAAAACCCUGAAGCCUCAGGCCAUUAUUCAGGGGAUCUCAUGUUUACAAGCAGUUUUUGUUUCCUUGGACGCAUUUUUGUUAUUCCGUCUCAAGUAUUCCCGAAGAUCCUCACUGAGGAAAGGAGGCCGUCAAAGAGGCAUUGGUGUAUGCUCAGGCCGGCCCCUCUAGUUUCCAAACUGAGAGAUCACCAUGUUUACCGAAAUUUAACCCAAACUCAGAAUUCGAAUUCUCUCCUCCAGCCCCUACCCUCCCACGACCACCCCCCCCCCCAACACUUGGCAGGUGGCCACUUCCGGAAGAUGCCAGGGAAAGCUUCCACGUGUACAUUUCAAACAGGCUCUGCUUGACGAAUUUUCACUUUGGCAAAGAUCUGGGUGCAAAAUUAUGGCCAGAAACGCUGGCCCUCAUGAGAUCUUUUAAAAAGAAAGAAACGACAAACCUGAUUUUUGCAGUUAAAUACGUCGCAUCUCUCUGACUUUCCCUACCUUCUUCCUUCUCCUAAAACCAACUUGUGCAAAAGAGAAGACAAAAGUACUCUGCACCGUAGUUUAUAUUUUAUGAAGCGACUUCCAUGGCGGAAAUCAUUUUGAACCAAUGAAACUGAUCACUAGAGGUGGUUGUUCUUGCCAUUUGAGUUCAUUCCUUUUGACUUUGCCAUACAAUUCAGGCAUGGGGGCUAUGGGCGGAAUGUUCUGAAUGCACUAGGUGAGCUGCCCUGAAAGUCCCAUUUAUUUCCCCUUUUGAUGCAAAUAGACAUGGCUAAUCUGGAAGCUUAUCCCAAAGGAAAGUCCUUAAAAAAAUCUUCUCUGGCUUCUGGAUUCAAAGAAGAUUUUUUUUUUAAAGAUAGGAAUCAGUUCUAAUCAUGCGUGAGGUUGGCUGUCUUUUUACCCUGUUAUAAUCAGGCAAUCGAAGAUGUAAAAAGGGCACAAGAGGUGCAGGAAGGGAGGAGAUGGGGUGUCUGAAGGGCUUUGCAAGGGAAAGCACAUAGAGAGGAGGAGGAAAUGGCCAGCGUGAGUUCGUUUUGGGGUUUCCGAUAUUUUUACAAAAUGCAGCUUUGUCAUGGAAUCUGAACACUUCUUUUUCUGGACAUAGGACUCCUCACCACCAGGCUUUAGGCUGGGCCAAUUAACUGUUAGUGGGGCAGGAGGCCAGUAGCUGGGAGAAGCAUGAUAAUUUCACGUUUCCACAUCUUUGACUCAUAGCCAUGUGGCAGGAGGACUCAGAAGCACAACUUGAAAGAAAGGAAAUGGUCAAUGGCUCAGAAACACUCUUCCUCUGAACAUCAAGCUCUGAACCCUGGAUAAAAUGUGCUCGAGAGGACAACCGCAGGACACACCAUGCCAGGUUUUUCCUUCCAAAUCUGGGAUCCCCGGGAAUGUCAGGAGGUAACGAUUUAAAUGAGAAAGCGGCUUAAUGUGUUUUAAAUGUCCAUUAAAGCACGGUUUUAAAUAACCUGUCCUCUUGGGGGGCAAAGCAUCUUCAGAGGGUUAUUUCCUGGAAAGCCUGCUCCCACUCACAGGCUCUUACCAACCGUCUCUGCCAUUUCAGAGACGAUGGAGAUUUUAUCACGAAUCCGUUUCCAAAAUGAUGGGGUGUUACCCUCGCUUUUGUGGCUAGGUCACCGAUCACAGGUGUCAACCAGGCUAGAGAAGAACAGUUUCAAAGCCAUACACUUAGCACCCACCGAAUUUCAGGCCAAUUCUCACAGCCCACAAAGGACUCUGAAGCAAGUAAGCCUCACCAUCGUGGUUCAGCGCGCCCUGCUCCGACCAAGGUCAGGAGCAGAUUACAAAGGACCUCACUGAUACAAAAGAGAGAGGAAUUACUGAACAUUUCAGACACUGAUGAGGACCAAAAGGGCCUUUGUUCCGCCACAUUCAAAUGAGAACUUUUCAAGACCACAGAUGACAACAGGGAGCAAACAAGCAAUGAUUACUCUUUUGCGUUCUUUUUUUUUUAAACUUUCUUUUUAAUAGAGCCUUGCAUUGGUCAGUUCAAAAAUUAAAUUCAGUAUUAUAAA
RNAcentral lists this long non-coding RNA (3550 nucleotides) under Lynx pardinus (Iberian lynx). The record is from RNAcentral. Lineage: Eukaryota; Metazoa; Chordata; Mammalia; Carnivora; Felidae.